CGAAGGUGUCUCUAACUAUUUUCACUGGUAGGUCGCUCGUUAUUUACUCCAGCAUGCCACCACAGUUCUCUAACUUUAUCUUUGCACUUCCUAGCAAUAUUACGAACUCAAUAUAUUUAAUUACAUACGUAUACGGGCAACACCUCAAUCAAUUAAUCCUUACUCAAAUUUAUAUUUUCAUCCUAUCAUGAAAUCAUCUUCAAUUAACUCACAUCUUAAUACAUUUUUACCAAAAUUACUUACAUCCAUUGCUUACGAAAUUCCUUAGAUUAUAUCACUGGCAACUUAUUUAUGAUGUCACGUGCCUACUUCAACCUUUCUAAAUAAUUUUUGCCUAAAUCCAUCUUAUAUUUCCACACAUAAUCCACAUAUAUGGCAACAACAAUUAUUCUCACUUUCACUCAAUUAUUUCCUAGUUUACACACAUUGUUAUCUACCUAACUUUCAAUACUUUGUUUCUUAAUCCUCCAUCCACAAUAUUCCUUUUUUUAUUUCUUUCAAACAACAUGCCAUACAAUCUUAACAAUUUUCAACUAGCUUAGGCAAAUAAAUCCUUUCAACAACCAUAGUUCCUCACAAUAUUCCACUAACUGUAGGCUUUAAAACAUAGUGUUAAUCUUACCGUUUUCCUUUUCCACUUUCAAUCCUUCAUGUACCCAUGGGUUUAUUAGCUUACAUGUUACCAAUUUUUCUCCAAUGAAGCCAAUCUUUGCUGCCACUAGACAUUUCUCUAAGUCACUAACUCAUUUUCAAAUACUACUCAAGCCAAAAAUAAGAAUUCUUACCGUUCCUUGCUUGAAUCACCAAAACCAAGCUUUUUCUUCCUUUCUCUCUUUUUCUUUCUUCUCCUCUUAGGGUUUUGGUGUGCUGGAAAUUGGGGUUAAAGGCUGCAAAGUUAAUGGUCAAGAAGUUUGGAGAAGAAAGGAAAAGAAAACAUAGAAAGGAAAGUGAAGAAAACUUGAUUUCAUGGUGGAUAAAGAGAAAAUGGCAUGGAAGCUUCAAGAAUGGCAUGGAGCAUGGAUGAAGAAGAAGAAAAAUCUGCUGGGGGAAAGGAUAAGGUCAAUCUUUGCCUAAAAAAAUCAGAGUCAAAGCUUCCUUUGGAAGCUUUGACCAAACUUUACAUAAAAUUACUGUUUUGCCCUAUUUUUGUUUCCUUCCAUUUUAUUUUAGUCCUCC
This 1176-nucleotide long non-coding RNA is filed under the name Theobroma cacao (cacao). RNAcentral's name for it is "long non-coding RNA (TCAC_LNC001132)". The record is from RNAcentral. Lineage: Eukaryota; Viridiplantae; Streptophyta; Magnoliopsida; Malvales; Malvaceae.